Molecule: long non-coding RNA, 1202 nt
Filed under: Cyanistes caeruleus (blue tit)
Lineage: Eukaryota; Metazoa; Chordata; Aves; Passeriformes; Paridae
Description: lncRNA (ENSCCEG00000010445.1)
Source: RNAcentral
AGAACUGCAGUUCCCUCAAGAUCCAUGGAACAGCAGACUCUGGAAAUACAUCCCCUUUCUCCAGGGAAACAUGGAAAUGGGUAUCACCUGCACUGAGGUUUUUUUGCUCAGUUUGAGACUCCUGCAAAGGAGUUAGGUAAUACAGCUCCUGGCAUUUCUCAGCAUUUACCAGAGUGGUGUUUUCUAUUGCAGCAGAACCCAAACUGCACCUGUAAUUUAUUUAGCUCUCCAAGAAUGGCUGUUGAUGGGCAGGAAAGAAGAAAGGCCUGUAGGUAGUUCAGAUUGGCAAUAAAAACAGAAUGGAUAAUUCUCAUAAACUUCUGCUGGUAAACACAUAAUUCAGACCUGAAGCUCAUUUCCAGGUCUUUCAUAAUUCAGAAAACCCCCAUAUUGGAGACUUAGAGGUUGGCAUACCAAGUGUGCUGAAGGUGACUUGUCUAAUCUGCAGCAGCUGGAACACCCCGCCAUCUCCACAAAAUGAUUUCCUGCCAUUUUCAAAUGAAGCUUAUGGAGACAGCUGUUCUUCUGUCAGAAGUGGCACAUGGCACCAUGGAUUUUGUCAAGGAGCAGCCUCCUCUGGGGCUUUAUGUGAAUCACUCGCUAAAAGAGCAUUAGGGCUUAGGAGGCCCAUUUUGGAUUCAGAGCAGCACCUUGAGGUGUUUCUCUCUGGACUUCUGAAAUCCACCUCCAUCCUUCCCCAGGUCUCCCCAAAACAGCAGUGCUGAGAAUUACCUCUGUGCACUGGUAGGAAAACCCACACAGUGGCUCUUGUGGCUGACAUUCCCCUGGACCUUCAGCAUGUGAGAUAAUGCAAGAUGUGUGCUCUCUUUAGGUGUCUAAGGUAACAGAAAGAGAUUAUGUUAAGUGCUUGGUAAGAGGCAUUUUCCAUUUGCAACAUUCAACUUCAUUUAGCUGUAAUGCAUGAAAAAAUUGACCCACGUGGGUCUUGAUCUAGCCAUUUAAUUCUACCCCUGAAGUGUGAAUGCUAUGAGCAUCAUGGAUUUUGGCACUGUUGACAUUUCUUUUAAGCAAAUGACAGUUUGAAAGGAUGGGAGUGUAUCCUUUUAUCACUGCAACAGAUAAAUACACUACAGAGUGAUUGAAACAGCUUUACACACUGGCAAGUGACAGAAGAGAAAGUGGUGGGGAAAAAAGGCACAAAAGGCAAGACCAAUUUAAAUAAAAAAAUGAAGCACAAAACA